ACAAACUUUUCACUCCCUCUCUCCAACGGUUCUCCUCUCUUUCAAAGAUUCUCCCCUCUCUCUGCACAAAAAUUUUCAUACUUCCCAAAAAUUAAAAGUUGCUUCGAUCUAGACAAUCAAUUUCUCCGACAACUUUCAACUUCCGAUGGCCGUACUAUGAACUUUCAAUUCUUCUAUUCUAACCAUCCAAAGGAACAACCAUUUGUAGAAUGCAAGAAUAAAGAGGCUCAAUUAAUAUUUACUGGUGAAGAUGUGAAGAAGUCUCUUGAUGCUCUUACUACUAUUGAUAAGGAAUUGAUAUCUAAGAGAGGUGUUAUUCCAUCAAGAAAAUUUUUGGAGCCAUUCAUAUCAUUGAAGAUUAAGAGAAGAAAAAAAAAUCAAUUUUCAAGAUAUUAUCAAAUAUGAAAAAGAGACAACAAAUUGCAACUACUCAUCUUUCUUGCAAUGUUGAGUCAUCUUCAUGAGCCAUAGAAGAGCAACAGAAGUUGCAGAAGGUAUGGGUUGCUGAAGUCAUAUUUUGUAAGGUGAAGAACAUGAUAUUUUCUAGUUGUCAAUGACAAUAUUUUAUAUUUAAUUGAUGUCUAGUUAUUUUAUCAUGAUUUUUAUUUUUAAGCUGAAACUAUUUAUAUGAAUUGUAAUUCAUGAACACUUACCAUAUUUAGUUAAUCAUAUUUGUAAUUAUCAAUGAAAAUACUUUAUAUUAUA
Molecule: long non-coding RNA, 705 nt
Organism: Solanum pennellii
Lineage: Eukaryota; Viridiplantae; Streptophyta; Magnoliopsida; Solanales; Solanaceae
Exons: 2
Source: RefSeq, a predicted model, not a curated record